GACAUUUCUGUAUAGUGUUCAUGAUCAUCAUUUUUAACUGUUAGCUAUAACAGCAAACUAAAAUGUAAAAUUAAGGGGUAUAAAGAGAAAUACACCCCAUCAAUUCAGCUCUCUUAAAAAGGAAUAAGAGAACAAACGAUAUAGACAGAUUACAACAAUUGCAAACAUUUCAAAAAAAAAAAAAUCUAAUCAAAAUUCUCAAUUCAACUUAGAAACUUAUAUAUCUCCACCUUCACAUUAUCCAGUAAGUGUAAAGUAAUCUAUAUCCCCCUUCAUAGAUUUGUCUUAGGAUAAGAUUUAAGGCACAUAAAUUACACCCAAAAUACCAAUCUUCUGACCUUAUUUGAUCCAAUCUGAAUCACAUCCAUGCAAACUCAAAACAUAAAAAGCAAAUCCUUUACCCAAAAUCAAUAAUAAUGCCAAGAAAGCAAUAAUUUCUUUUUCCUUUUAAUAACAAACUCAAAAUGAAUUAAACAAAGCCCAAUAAAAUCGGAACAUCAUCAAAAACAUGAAAUCAAACCCACAAAUCUAAAAUAAAAGCGAAAAAAAGUGUUUCAUAGUUGUUACGAUGAUUAGAUGGGACAAAUCUGGACUACUGGGUCUAGGGUCAGAGAGAUGCAGAAAAGUCUAGGUGAAGACUGAAGAGAAUGGAGUGACGAGAAGGAACACCAGUUUCGAAGAUCCAAAGGCAGUUUGUUUUGCAGCAGCAACAACAUCAACAACCUUUGCCACAGCUGCAACUUUUACAGCAACAAUAUCAGCAACACCCACAGUUGCGGUGAGGGACAAGUGACUGGAGACUUGAGACGGGUGAGGGAUUUGCCUAAACUCCUCAGAAAUUGAUGAAGAAGAACUGAAGAAGGAUGGAGGGUUUGAUUUAGGGCUUUUGAUUUUUUAUUUGGGGGGUUUGAUUUCGGGAUAGGAAUUAGGAAAUAGGAAUAAUAUUUUGAUUUGGGAAAAACGGGGUAAAGUAAAAAUAAAAUAAUUAGACUAAAUAAUAAUAUAAAUUUAAAAUUUAACAUAAUAUAGUUUAGUAUUUAAAAUAAUAACGAAGGCAACACAAAAAAAGGUUGGGUUAGAUAAAAUAUUUUCAAACGAAAAAUAAAAGUUUGGAUAGGUUAACAUUUUCC
Molecule: long non-coding RNA, 1130 nt
Filed under: Gossypium barbadense (sea-island cotton)
Lineage: Eukaryota; Viridiplantae; Streptophyta; Magnoliopsida; Malvales; Malvaceae
Description: long non-coding RNA (GBAR_LNC017027)
Source: RNAcentral